Phocoena sinus (vaquita) is the source of this 1843-nucleotide long non-coding RNA. The record is from Ensembl. Lineage: Eukaryota; Metazoa; Chordata; Mammalia; Artiodactyla; Phocoenidae.
AUCACAUGAAUGUGUUACUGUAUACAAAACUCUUUUAAUGCUUUAUUCUCAAAUGCUGGGUUGAAGAAUGUUUUGAAAGCCUUUUAAAAUAUAUAUCUUUAUACAGUAAUGUUCAGGGUGAUGAUGGAAAUUGUUUAUAUUGUUAUGAUAGAAAUGACAGUAUAAUGUUACCCAGUGUAUUUAAUGAUUUAUUUGAAGAGGGAGAGAGGAAGAAGGUUCUCAUACCACUUUCUCCUUUGAAAUUUUCAGUUUAUUGGCUUUUUAAAAAUUAAUACUUCAGGCAGUGGACAUUUUUUCAGUAUCGUUUAAAGGAUAUCCUGUGUGCUGAAUAGUUUAUGGCACAUAAUUAAUUUGGUCUGAAUAUUUGGUUCUUUUUCUUCCUUUCAAGUUGACAGAGUAUUGAAUAAAGAGGCUCAGAGUAGAACGAUUGACACGCUGGUACGUUUGUUAGCACCUCUUGCAUCUCCCGUAAAACUGCCCUUUGGAUUCCUUGUUCACGCUCGAGUUCUCUUUCAAAAGUGACCAGACCAUGUGCAUGUAGGAGCAGGACUACAGAAUGAUAUUCAUGUAGAGGUAAAACCUUCAUUUUAAUACUUAAAGUUACAUAAAUCUUUUCAAAAGGUAUUUUGUUGUAUAGACCAUGCUGUUUGUACCCAUCCCUGCCCACUUCUUGCUGUAGGCCCUGUAUUCACGUACAGAAGUGUAAUCCUUCUCUCUUGCGUGAAGUGUAGGUGGGGGGGUUGGGGAGGGACACAGACAUCUUUGAAAUCAGAGUACAGUCAAAGGCAUUCCUGAGUUGGUGGUUUUGUUGCUGUGGCAGAAUGUGCUAUGAAAUGCAUAGAAGAAAUUCUCCACGUGUGCCCCCUAAUUACUCAGCCUCCCCUCCUCUCCCUGCGUGCUGUGGACACGCCAGGCCACCACGCUUCUGCAGGUCUAGCUCAUGGAGCUCGUUGCACCAGGUUGCCUUUCCUAGUCCUGUCAGUCCAUAGUCGGGUGUGAAUUGCUGAAUUAGCCGCUAUGCUAUAUGGACUCACAGUUAAGCUUUUUCUUACCGUUUUCUAUGGGGAAGCUAUAGGGUGGGUAAGGAGGAAAUUUGGAGUGCUUAUACCUUGCUGAAAAUGUUGAAACUUUCCUGUGACAGGAUACAGCAAAUUGUAAUUAAAUAUAAACCAGAACCAGAGCUACCUCUAAGUAGUGUUUCCUCAAGCACAAAGCUCUCAGGCAUAUGAGACCCACUGUGAUGGAGGGUCUCUGAUUUCUUGAGCAUCAGUGAGUUUCAGAAGUGAUUGUCUUUUGUAGUCUCCUAGUUCCCUUGUAACUACACACUUUUUUCCCCAUUCCACACUGUGCUUAAAUGACAAAGACUCUUCUGAGAAGCCAAAUUCUGUCAAAUGAUUAGCUAGAGAUAUUGUUGAUUACAGGGAAACGUAGAGCUGUGAGGCGGAGGCGGCGAGCUCUGUAGUUCCAGUUCUAAUAGGCUUCUGGUUGAAUAAAUCAGUUCUUUCCUGGGAAAUGAUCUUUUAUAGGAAAUGGGAUAUUUUAAAUGCUUUUCUUAAGUUGAAGGCACAACAGUUAAUGCCACUACUGUUGCUAUCCUGUGGCUGACAUGGUUUUGAUACAGCUUUAAAACUUCUGUUACCAAGCUUGGGGUAGAACGUGAUACCAGUUUUAAAUGUUGGCUGUAGCUUUUUGUAAUCCUUCUCUGAUUUGCCGUGUAAUAACUUCACAAGCUAAAUUUUCAGGAAGAAUUUUGUUUCAGAAAAUGCCUCUUGUCGAUUUGGGAGCAACAUGUCUUUUCAAUCAUGGGGUUGGCAAAUGAAAAAUAAAGUUAUUUCUUACUCUA